RNAcentral lists this ribosomal RNA (293 nucleotides) under uncultured bacterium. Its description in RNAcentral is "partial 16S ribosomal RNA". The record is from RNAcentral.
GGACUACUAGGGUUUCUAAUCCUGUUUGCUACCCACGCUUUCGCGCCUCAGCGUCAGAUGGUGCCCAGUGUGCUGCCUUCGCCAUGGGUGUUCCUCCUGAUAUCAACGCAUUUCACCGCUACUCCAGGAAUUCCACACACCUCUGCACCCCUCCAGUCUGGCAGUAUGAAAAGCAAUUUCCGGGUUGAGCCCUGGAGAUUUCACUUCUCACUUACUAGACCGCCUACGCGCUCUUUACGCCCAGUAAAUCCGGACAACGCUCGGACCCUACGUCUUACCGCGGCGGCUGGCAC